GGACGGGUGAGUAACACGUGGAUAACCUACCUAUAAGACUGGGAUAACUUCGGGAAACCGGAGCUAAUACCGGAUAACAUGUUGAACCGCAGGUUCAACAGUGAAAGACGGUCUUGCUGUCACUUAUAGAUGGAUCCGCGCCGCAUAGCUAGUUGGUAAGGUAACGGCUUACCAAGGCAACGAUGCGUAGCCGACCUGAGAGGGUGAUCGGCCACACUGGAACUGAGACACGGUCCAGACUCCUACGGGAGGCAGCAGUAGGGAAUCUUCCGCAAUGGGCGAAAGCCUGACGGAGCAACGCCGCGUGAGUGAAGAAGGUCUUCGGAUCGUAAAACUCUGUUAUUAGGGAAGAACAAAUGUGUAAGUAACUAUGCACGUCUUGACGGUACCUAAUCAGAAAGCCACGGCUAACUACGUGCCAGCAGCCGCGGUAAUACGUAGGUGGCAAGCGUUAUCCGGAAUUAUUGGGCGUAAAGCGCGCGUAGGCGGUUUUUUAAGUCUGAUGUGAAAGCCCACGGCUCAACCGUGGAGGGUCAUUGGAAACUGGAAAACUUGAGUGCAGAAGAGGAAAGUGGAAUUCCAUGUGUAGCGGUGAAAUGCGCAGAGAUAUGGAGGAACACCAGUGGCGAAGGCGACUUUCUGGUCUGUAACUGACGCUGAUGUGCGAAAGCGUGGGGAUCAAACAGGAUUAGAUACCCUGGUAGUCCACGCCGUAAACGAUGAGUGCUAAGUGUUAAGGGGGUUUCCGCCCCUUAGUGCUGCAGCUAACGCAUUAAGCACUCCGCCUGGGGAGUACGACCGCAAGGUUGAAACUCAAGGAAUUGACGGGGACCCGCACAAGCGGUGGAGCAUGUGGUUUAAUUCGAAGCAACGCGAGAACCUUACCAAAU
RNAcentral lists this ribosomal RNA (890 nucleotides) under Staphylococcus sp. RNAcentral's name for it is "bacterial SSU rRNA". It matches the Rfam family "Bacterial small subunit ribosomal RNA", at positions 100 to 979 of the family's 1533-position model. Lineage: Bacteria; Bacillati; Bacillota; Bacilli; Caryophanales; Staphylococcaceae. The record is from RNAcentral.